Molecule: non-coding RNA, 417 nt
Organism: Trichomycterus rosablanca
Lineage: Eukaryota; Metazoa; Chordata; Actinopteri; Siluriformes; Trichomycteridae
Source: the annotation of a RefSeq genome assembly
AUGUUCUCUCCAUCAUCUCUACUGCUCCUGCUGGCAGCUGCUUCCUGUGGACGUUGUGUUGAACUGAAUCAGCCUGGAUCCAUGACGGUCCAACCAGGCCAGGUUCUCUCCAUCAACUGUAAGGUUUCAUAUUCAGUUACGAGUUAUACUACACAUUGGAUCCGACAGGCUGCAGGAGAAGCUCUGGAGUGGAUCGGAUACAUCAGCAGUGGUGGUGGCACAGCUUACAAUGAUAAACUGAAAAAUAAGUUCAGCAUCUCCAGAGACACGAGCAGCAACACCAUAACAUUACGAGGCCAGAAUGUACAAGCUGAAGAUUCAGCUGUGUAUUACUGUGCGAGAAAACUCACUGGACCUCAUUUUUAUUUCUAUUCUGGUGGGUCCAGUUAUGAUCAGAUCCUCCGUGACAGUUGUUGA